This 219-nucleotide ribosomal RNA is filed under the name Rahnella sp. AA. Its description in RNAcentral is "partial 16S ribosomal RNA". It matches the Rfam family "Bacterial small subunit ribosomal RNA", at positions 1 to 215 of the family's 1533-position model. The record is from RNAcentral. Lineage: Bacteria; Pseudomonadati; Pseudomonadota; Gammaproteobacteria; Enterobacterales; Yersiniaceae.
UUAAUUGAAGAGUUUGAUCAUGGCUCAGAUUGAACGCUGGCGGCAGGCCUAACACAUGCAAGUCGAGCGGUAGCACAGGAGAGCUUGCUCUCUGGGUGACGAGCGGCGGACGGGUGAGUAAUGUCUGGGAAACUGCCUGAUGGAGGGGGAUAACUACUGGAAACGGUAGCUAAUACCGCAUGACGUCGCAAGACCAAAGUGGGGGACCUUCGGGCCUCA